UUCGUCAAAAUGGCACUGUAUCGCCGCCUUUCUCAGACUCGCCAUGUCUUCCAUCGUCACUGUAUCACUGCUCUUUACCCCUCCGCCCACCUAACUAACCCUAGCCCCAUUGCUCUUCAUUCUCAUUUAAUCAACAGCCCCUUUCAAUUCUCUUCAUCUAAUGAUGAUCAUUACACUCACACCCUUAAUUCUAUAAAAUCAUUCACAUUUUACUCCCCACAUUCUUCAAGAAUUGAACUUUCAGGGUUUCACUUUUCAACCUUAGCUAAUUCAGAAGAAAAGAAGAAGAAGAAGAAUGAGCAACAAAAGGCAAAGCCUUCUUGGAUUGAUACUUAUUUGCCUCAAAGAAUUAGACCCUAUGCACAUCUUGCCCGACUUGAUAAGCCUAUUGGCACUUGGUUACUUGCUUGGCCUUGCAUGUGGUCGAUUGCUUUGGCUGCUCCACCAGGGAGCCUACCUGAUGUGAAGAUGAUGACAUUAUUUGGUUGCGGGGCUUUUCUUUUGCGAGGUGCUGGAUGUACAGUUAAUGAUCUUCUUGAUCGCGAUAUUGAUACUAAGGUGGAAAGAACAAGGUCGAGGCCAGUCGCUAGUGGUGUCUUGACACCCUUUCAGGGGCUCACUUUUCUUGGGUUCCAAUUGCUACUAGGUCUUGGGAUUCUUUUGCAAUUAAACAAUUAUAGCCGCAUUUUGGGAGCUUCUUCCUUGUUGCUGGUCUUCUCAUACCCCCUCAUGAAGAGGUUUACAUUUUGGCCUCAAGCCUAUCUUGGUCUAACUUUCAACUGGGGAGCUUUGUUAGGUUGGGCUGCUAUUAGAGGAAGUAUUGAUCCUUCAGUUGUGCUUCCACUAUAUGUCUCGGGUGCGUUUUGGACGCUUGUAUAUGACACAAUAUAUGCACAUCAGGAUAAAGAAGAUGAUCUCAAAGUGGGUGUCAAAUCUACAGCCUUGAGAUUUGGAGAUUCCACAAAAGAAUGGAUCAGUGGGUUUGGAUUAGCUUGCAUCAGCAGUCUUGCUCUUUCUGGAGUUAAUGCCAAUAUUGGAUGGCCAUACUAUGCCUUUUUGACAGCUGCUUCUGGCCAAUUGGCUUGGCAAAUUUGGACUGUUGACCUAUCAUCUCGUGCUGAUUGCAACAGAAAAUUUGUUUCCAACAAAUGGUUUGGUGCGUUUAUCUUUGGGGGGAUUCUAUCUGGAAAACUAUUGUGACAAUAGUUACUGAUAAAAAACAAGUCUUACCAAUUUAACCGGCUGGAGAUGUGUACCAUGGGAGCUCAAUCUUGGAGCUUGCAGCAAAUCUCAAGCUGGAUGCUCAAAUAAUUUGUUCCUUGCAGCAUUCAAAGCUGUAUUUGGGUUGAUACGAGAAACAUACGCAGGAUUUGUGACCAUCUUUUUGCAUAUAUUUUUAUUUAUAUGGUAUAGAUUUGUUUGGAGAUAUGGUAAAAAGCUAGGGGUGCACGCAUACAACAAUAACUACGACUCAGUCCCAAACAUGUGUGCAGACAUACCGGUUCUCUUUCUUUUUCUUUUACCUUAAUAGUCUUAUUGGGUAUUUCCUCCGUGCCAUCAUGAUAGAAGGCAGUAGAUUAUAGCUUUCUCUAUGGAAGAAUUAACCAGAGAGUUUACCAAGAUAUCUCUGUAUACAGUAAUAUCAACAUGCAUUUGUUGGCAACUGUUGUUGUAGGUUCCCAUUGGCCGAUGUUGUUGUAGGUUCCGUUUGGCCAUUGUCAGGGAAUUUUCUUGCAGAAAUGUUCAUUGAAGGCUCCUGUGCUUUCUUUUCCUUUGUUUGAAGACGUAUCAUUUCCUUGUAAUGUACUCUCUAAAAUAGUUUGGGCAGCUUUUCAAGGAACUU
RNA transcript from Lycium ferocissimum, 1843 nucleotides. It is a transcript of the gene named 4-hydroxybenzoate geranyltransferase 2, with no coding region annotated. The transcript is spliced from 10 exons. The record is from RefSeq and is a predicted model, not a curated record. NCBI's taxonomy places the organism in Eukaryota, Viridiplantae, Streptophyta, Magnoliopsida, Solanales, Solanaceae.